Molecule: long non-coding RNA, 1642 nt
Organism: Octopus bimaculoides (California two-spot octopus)
Lineage: Eukaryota; Metazoa; Mollusca; Cephalopoda; Octopoda; Octopodidae
Source: RefSeq, a predicted model, not a curated record
UGAAGGAGCUGGGGCACUGCUCUGAGAAUAUUAGUCGAACGAAUUGACUCCAGUACUUAUUUUAUUGGUCUCUUUUGUCAAACCGCUAGGUUUCGUCUAAGUUUCGUCUAGCAAAUCUACUCGCAAAACUUUGGUCGGCUGGAAGUUAUAGUAGAAGACACUUUCCCAAGGUGCCACGCGGACAGACUGAUCUCAGAACCAUGUGAUUGGGAGGCAAACGUCUUACCAUUUAGCCACACCUAUAUGGAUGUAUGCACAAGGAUGUCUCCAGGCUCUCCAAGCAACGCACAUCUGUCCACGAAGAGAUGGAAAAAUUGCUUCUCCUGUGUAUCAAAGAGAAGAACUCGCAGGGGAUACGAUUACAGAGACCAUCAUCUGCGAGAAAACACGAACGCUGUAUGGGGAUCCCCUGAAACAGAACCCUGGAACAUCGACUGAUAAAACAUCAGCAGACGCUUUUAAGGCAAGUCGCAGCUGGUUCAAUAAUUUCAAGAAGAGGACUGAUGUUCAUAGCUUCGUCAGAUAUGGAGAAACAGCGAGUUCUGACACGAAGACAGCUGAGGAUUUCGUGUGUGAAUUCCGUCAGCUCAUUGGACCCGGGGGGUACAUCGCACAACAGGUAUUCAGCUGUGAUAAAACUGGCCUUUUUUUAGAAAAAAAUGCUCAGAAGAACCUACAUAACUGCAGAUUAGAAGAAAAUGCCAGGUCACAAGCCUAUAAAAGAUAGGCUAACUCACGCCUUUUGUGCCAAUGCGAGUGGAGACUUGAAGAUAAACCGCUCUUUGUCUACCAUUCCGAAAACCCACGAGCGUUCAAGUCGCACAAAAUCCUGAAGGAGAAGAUGCAGGUCAUGUGGAGGGCAAACUUUGAAGCUUUGGUCACCAGGCAAUUCUUCACUGAGCGGGUCAACCUUAUCUUCGGACCAGCAGUGAAAAAAAUUACCUUCCGGAGAAUAAUCUUCCUCUUAAGGUCCUCCUCACCCUCGACAGUGCUCCUGCUCACCCUCCUAACACGCACACAAAUACUACCAAACGAAUUUAAAUUCAUAAAAGUUCUACACCUUUCGCGCAACACCACCCCUACCUUGCAGCUCAUAGACCAACAGGGGAUUUCUAAUUUUAAGAAAUUUUACAACAAACACGUAUUUCGUCGGUGCUUUGAAGUCACCGAAAAUAUAAAUCUAACCCUUCGUGAGUUUUGGAAAGAGUACUACAACAUUGUUAACUGCCUGAAAAUCAUCAAUAUGGGCUGGUAGAGUGUAACGAGGAGAACGUUGAAUUAUGCAUGUUGGAAACUGUGUCCUGACUGCGUAUCCGAAAGAGACUUCGAUGAGUUUGUGUCUGCGACACGUGUAGUUGAGUUUUUAUUUAAUGACACUGCUCUGGCGCAUUUUCGUAACAUUUUGAAAGGCAGGAAAAAGCAGACUUCUCUUGAUAUGUUUCAAAUGAAACGACCUGCAAGCGUGAAAAGUGAAGAAACUAAGCGAAGUGAGAGAGAAAAUGCCACGAAUUAUUCUUCUUGAAGUCUUAAUGGAAGGAGAUUCUCCUUCCAAACAAUAAUCCUCCUCCUCCUCGCUCCAUCAUCUUUAUCACGCAUAAUUCGUCCCAUAUUUAAGGUAAUAAAAAUUUAUAAAACCAGUCUA